Molecule: ribosomal RNA, 229 nt
Filed under: uncultured bacterium
Lineage: Bacteria
Description: partial 16S ribosomal RNA
Rfam family: Bacterial small subunit ribosomal RNA
Source: RNAcentral
UGCGUAGGCGGGUCAUUAAGUCAGAGGUGAAAUCCCACAGCUUAACUGUGGAACUGCCUUAGAUACUGGUGAUCUUGAGUUUUAGUGAAGUAGAUAGAAUGUGUAGUGUAGCGGUGAAAUGCAUAGAUAUUACACAGAAUACCGAUUGCGAAGGCAGUCUACUAACUAACAACUGACGCUAAUGGACGAAAGCGUGGGGAGCGAACAGGAUUAGAUACCCUGGUAGUCC